RNAcentral lists this unclassified non-coding RNA (351 nucleotides) under soil metagenome. RNAcentral's name for it is "partial contains 5.8S ribosomal RNA, internal transcribed spacer 2, and large subunit ribosomal RNA". The stretch from base 1 to 120 matches the Rfam family "5.8S ribosomal RNA", at positions 35 to 154 of the family's 154-position model. The record is from RNAcentral.
GAUGAAGAACGCAGUGAAAUGCGAUAAGUAAUGUGAAUUGCAGAAUUCCGUGAAUCAUCGAAUCUUUGAACGCACAUUGCGCCCCCUGGCAUUCCGGGGGGCAUGCCUGUCCGAGCGUCAUUUCUGCCCUCAAGCCCGGCUUGUGUGUUGGGCGUGGUCCCCCCGGUUUAGGGGGGACCUGCCCGAAAGGCAGCGGCGACGUUCCGCCUAGGUCCUCGAGCGUAUGGGGCUUUGUCACCCGCUCGGGAGGGGCCUACGGGCGUUGGCCAUCCACCAUUUAUUUUUUUUACGGUUGACCUCGGAUCAGGUAGGAGUUACCCGCUGAACUUAAGCAUAUCAAUAAGCGGAGGA